CACCAGGGGCUGUGACUGCAGCCGUUUCUCCUAAAGGCGGGGAGGGGUCGUCUCCAGGGUCCAGACCCUCUUCUGGAGCCCUCCCCCGCCCGUUUUCCCCGCAGGCCACGCGGGCAGAUGUGUUUUUUUACCCGGAGCUGGAAGAACUCCUAGGGAUCCUGGAAAUCACUACUCUUCCCAUGCCUCCGUUUCCUCGUUACAAACUAGGAAUGAGAAGGUUGGCUGCUGUGUUGUGCGAGCAGCUCUGGCGACGAAAGAAUAGCAGUUUAUUUCAGAGGUCACAAAGGGCGAGGCUGGAAUUUCCAUUUUCACUCUUGAAUGGGACUUGUGUCACAAUAUCUGUUAGAGGCAUUCGAAAUCGGCCACAAGAUCAGCCGUUAGUGUUGUCAGAAGCCACAGCCCUACCUGAGGCUUUGAGAGAUGGGACUGCCAAUGGUUUUUCUCCUCCUGACUCACUCAAUACCAAGAAAAAGCAACUUCCCCAAAAACACAGAAACAGAAAGUACUCGUGGAUGGGCACAGAGAACUGGUCCCAGCCUCUAUUAGAGAUGGGAAGGCGCUCAGAACCGUCCAGCACUUCUUCUCUUGCAUGGACCACCCCUGUCCCGCCCGCCCCCCACUGUUUUACAAACAAGGAACCAGAGCCGUGAAGUCUGUGAGAAGACAUCCUGGAGGUCUUUCAUCUUGAGAAGGCUCUGUCUGUGUCUCCCCAUCCCAAGAGGGCAGAACAACCAGGAGAUCUGAUCAGCACUUGACACCUAUUGGCCAGGACUUCCAACUACAGCCACCCAGGACCGGAGCAGGUUCAAGAGCUAAAACAGCUCAGAUUCAAGGACAGAACUGGCGAGAUGGUGUUGGUUUGCUAGAGUAUGGCAUUUCACGAUAGCACUGUGGAUACCCUGUGCCUCCUGAAACAAGCCCAAUGAAUGUGUCAGAUGCCCCCCCCCUUUUUUUCCCAGUUCAAUAACGUUUUCUUUCCCCUACACAUCUUUUUCACAUUCUUCUUACUAGUUUUUUAGCCGGUGGCAUCUCACAUUGUAUCUUUUCAACAGGCACACUUUGUGUAUUAAGCAUUAUAGGAAUAUUCUUCACUUCC
Molecule: long non-coding RNA, 1096 nt
Organism: Odocoileus virginianus texanus
Lineage: Eukaryota; Metazoa; Chordata; Mammalia; Artiodactyla; Cervidae
Source: RefSeq, a predicted model, not a curated record